CUCUCCUCCAGAGCUAUCUACUAUAACUGGAAAGAAAUAUAAAAGUUAAAAAUGACCCCUGGGAAAGGAUGACAAACAAAUUCAUGAAGUGUUACAUGUUCCA
Dromiciops gliroides (monito del monte) is the source of this 103-nucleotide small nuclear RNA. The record is from RefSeq and is a predicted model, not a curated record. NCBI's taxonomy places the organism in Eukaryota, Metazoa, Chordata, Mammalia, Microbiotheria, Microbiotheriidae.